This 69-nucleotide transfer RNA is filed under the name Capra hircus (goat). It matches the Rfam family "tRNA". From Rfam's summary of the family: Transfer RNA (tRNA) molecules are approximately 80 nucleotides in length. Their secondary structure includes four short double-helical elements and three loops (D, anti-codon, and T loops). Lineage: Eukaryota; Metazoa; Chordata; Mammalia; Artiodactyla; Bovidae. The record is from Rfam by way of RNAcentral. RNAcentral also lists the same sequence under 1 other name.
CCUGGUGGCUCAGAGGUUAAAGCAUCUGCCUGCAAUGUAGGAGACCCAGGUUCAAUGCCUGGGUCAGGA